GAUGAACGCUGGCGGCGUGCCUAAUACAUGCAAGUCGAGCGAACGGACGAGAAGCUUGCUUCUCUGAUGUUAGCGGCGGACGGGUGAGUAACACGUGGAUAACCUACCUAUAAGACUGGGAUAACUUCGGGAAACCGUAGCUAAUACCGGAUAAUAUUUUGAACCGCUUGGUUCAAUAGUGUAAGACGGUCUUGCUGUCUCUUAUAGAUGGAUCCGCGCUUCUUUAGCUAGUUGGUAAGGUAACGGCUUACCAAGGCAACGAUGCAUAGCCGACCUGAGAGGGUGAUCGGCCACACUGGAACUGAGACACGGUCCAGACUCCUACGGGAGGCAGCAGUAGGGAAUCUUCCGCAAUGGGCGAAAGCCUGACGGAGCAACGCCGCGUGAGUGAUGAAGGUCUUCGGAUCGUAAAACUCUGUUAGUAGGGAAGAACAUAUGUGUAAGUAACUGUGCACAUCUUGACGGUAACUAAUCAGAAAGCCACGGCUAACUACGUG
This 497-nucleotide ribosomal RNA is filed under the name uncultured bacterium. Its description in RNAcentral is "partial 16S ribosomal RNA". It matches the Rfam family "Bacterial small subunit ribosomal RNA", at positions 28 to 507 of the family's 1533-position model. The record is from RNAcentral.